AAAUUGAAGAGUUUGAUCAUGGCUCAGAUUGAACGCUGGCGGCAGGCCUAACACAUGCAAGUCGAACGGUAGCACAGAGAGCUUGCUCUCGGGUGACGAGUGGCGGACGGGUGAGUAAUGUCUGGGAAACUGCCUGAUGGAGGGGGAUAACUACUGGAAACGGUGGCUAAUACCGCAUAACGUCGCGAGACCAAAGAGGGGGACCUUCGGGCCUCUUGCCAUCAGAUGUGCCCAGAUGGGAUUAGCUUGUUGGUGAGGUAACGGCUCACCAAGGCGACGAUCCCUAGCUGGUCUGAGAGGAUGACCAGCCACACUGGAACUGAGACACGGUCCAGACUCCUACGGGAGGCAGCAGUGGGGAAUAUUGCACAAUGGGCGCAAGCCUGAUGCAGCCAUGCCGCGUGUAUGAAGAAGGCCUUCGGGUUGUAAAGUACUUUCAGCGGGGAGGAAGGUGUUGUGGUUAAUAACCGCAGCAAUUGACGUUACCCGCAGAAGAAGCACCGGCUAACUCCGUGCCAGCAGCCGCGGUAAUACGGAGGGUGCAAGCGUUAAUCGGAAUUACUGGGCGUAAAGCGCACGCAGGCGG
Molecule: ribosomal RNA, 586 nt
Filed under: Salmonella enterica
Lineage: Bacteria; Pseudomonadati; Pseudomonadota; Gammaproteobacteria; Enterobacterales; Enterobacteriaceae
Description: bacterial SSU rRNA
Rfam family: Bacterial small subunit ribosomal RNA
Source: RNAcentral